Molecule: RNA transcript, 1186 nt
Organism: Colias croceus (clouded yellow)
Lineage: Eukaryota; Metazoa; Arthropoda; Insecta; Lepidoptera; Pieridae
Gene: wupA
Gene name: troponin I
Exons: 10
Source: RefSeq, a predicted model, not a curated record
GGGGCGCGGGGCGCUGCGCCCACGCACGGCCCGCCGCGCCUUACCGCCCGCCUCGCGCCAGUCAGCAGUUGUGGCUCGUGUUGGCUGAACCAUCUUAGGGCCAUCUCCUUUUUCCAAUCGUAGACACCGAAAAGAACUAAAUCACAAUGGCGGAUGAUGAAAAAAAGCGUCUCGAGGAGGCGAAGAAGGCCAAACAGGCCGAGAUCGACCGCAAGCGCGCUGAGGUGCGCAAGCGCAUGGAGGAAGCCUCCAAAGCCAAGAAGGCCAAGAAGGGUUUCAUGACACCUGAGAGGAAGAAGAAGCUUAGGUUGCUCCUGCGUAAGAAAGCCGCCGAGGAAUUGAAGAAAGAACAGGAACGCAAAGCAGCGGAAAGGAGGCGUAUCAUUGAAGAGAGGUGCGGUAAACCCAAAAACGUUGACGAUGCAAACGAAGAAAUGCUCAAGAGAAUUAUCCAGGAGUAUCAUGACCGCGUAUAUGUGUGUGAGGGCCAGAAGUGGGAUUUGGAACACGAAGUCAGGAAAAGAGAUUUUGAGAUCGCCGACCUGAACUCUCAAGUCAAUGACCUCAGAGGAAAGUUCGUCAAACCUACAUUGAAGAAGGUGUCCAAAUACGAAAACAAAUUCGCCAAGCUCCAAAAGAAGGCUGCCGAAUUCAACUUCCGUAACCAACUCAAGGUUGUCAAGAAGAAGGAAUUCACCCUUGAAGAAGAAGACAAAGAGGCUAAGAAGGCAGAGAAAGCUGAUUGGGCUAUCGGGAAGAAGUGAUCCCUACCCCAGUUUCAUUCAUACAAUUCCUUUUACACCAAGAUGAUUUAAUUUUAAUUCUCGAUUAAAUUUUAAUAAAAUAUAUUUAUUAACUAUACAACGGUUCUUUAUUAUAUGAAUGAGAACAAACCAUAAUAAAGCCAACGAGAAAAAACCAGACUGGUCCAAGGGCAAGCCUGGCGAUCAGAAGGUAAAGGAGGAGGAAGUCGAAGCAUGAAGUGUGAAUCUUCCCCCCAUUGGCCUUUAUUUAUAAGAACUGUUGCCAUAGAAACCACGGUCCAUCCUAAAGCAUGUGGUUUCACAUCCCUUGGCAUAUUCCUUCAUAUAUAUGUAAAAAAUUGACCACACACCACGUCAAUAUCAUUUUAUAUUAUUUAUUUAUUAAAUAAAGUUUUUGUAAGUUAAUAAAUUAAUAAAAAUAA